CACUGACAGUUCCGAUGACUUGUUGAUUCAGGUGUUUGUCUGAAUACUUACAUCUUAAAAUUCAUUUGGUUUACAAACAAAAUUCACAUUACGCUUUGUUGUUGUUAAACGAUGAACUCCCGAAUGUUUUACGGCAUGAGCGUUUCUGUAACUUAUUGUAUGUCCCUCUAUUAUAUUUUCUUGUGGGAAGUAUGCUAAUACUGUGGUGAUGGCGGUUGUAACCACAGAACACUGGAGGCCGGCAUUCUUCACGCACCUACUGUGUUGUGUAAGCAAGACGCGCUCCCUGCACACAGGUGUUGGCAGCAGCUGCACUCGGCUGCACGCGCCAUGACGUGUGGCGGAGCCAAAAGCCAUGUUUGCCAACAGCGGCUGCUCCCGCGCCAUCCCCCGUCCCCUGAGCUCCCCCUCCCUCCAGCAUCCCAAAGGGAAGCAGGCGCAAGCGGAGCGUACGCCAAGCUAGCGACGGGAGGAGGGUCACAACCCCGCGUGCUGGCGUGCCCCGACAGACGAGGCCAGCAUGCGCCGACGCCGGCAAAGCCAGUUUGAUAUCAAGCCGCAAAGGAUUGUUAGUUGUUUGCCUGCACCCUUCGAUCCGUCAGCCUUCGAAAGGAGACGUGGCCUCGCAGCCCGACCCGCACACCUCUCCGAGUGGUUGCCUGUGACGAGUGCGUGACAGCCCGUGACGUGCGAGAGAGUGACCAGUGCUCGUUAGGUGACACGGUGCUCGUGACGUCACGGCACGACCACGUGCUGCUAGGAAUCGGAUAUAUUGGGACUUGCCCUGCCCACCUACAGACUUUGUCACAAAAAACGAGGAACAAAUGUGGCGAUGGAAAGAUAGUAGAAGUGGGGAGGGACAGCAGGACUCCCUCCACACCUGACACGCAACGACGGUUGUUUUCGUUCUCAACCGACCAGAGUGGAUUAUCACGCAAACCUCAAACAUUAACCAGGUGACGAUUCUAGGUGUCCGUCAGCGGAUACUUUGUUUGGGGCAGUCAAUGGAUUAGCAUCUCUUUGCAUGCCGACGCUGAUGAUGACAACGACGACGACGACAAUGUGGCCAGCAGCGACCCGCGAACGCUGGUGAUCCCACGAGCACUGUCCUCUGGAGGCCUCAUGCAUCCUGCCUGAACAAGCCUGACGAGCUACUUGGCGCUACCGCUCGCCUUCCAAGCCCCAUGGAGUCCGAGGGGUUUGCCAGCAUGGCAGCCUUCCCAUUCGUGGGGCUUCUCCUGGUGGGCACCGGCGUCGUGCUGCUGUUUCACUGCAGCUCCAUCUCUCACCGCAAGAAGCGUCAACGAGUGGAGGACGGGCAUGGCCGCGGCCGGGAGCGCCAUCUGGUCAACAAAAUGCGGGGUCGGUGCUGUGACAUGGAAGACUAUAGUUCCCAUCACCUCCCUUUAGUCAUCGUCACACCGCCCUCGCCUGUCGUCUCAUCGCGCAACGACGGCGACUCCAUCGGCUCCACCAGCGACCUCAUCAACGGUAUUGAGAUCCACAGCAAGGCGGACUACGACAGCAAGACGGACUCCCCCCGCCCGUCGACACCUCGCCCCCUCCAGUAACACUGCCAGCCGCCAUCGCAGUUUUCCGUUGGAACUAUCGAUUGAGGUAAUUACAGGUGCUUGGAAUUCACGGAGCGAAGUGAUUUCUCCACCGGAAGUGCCGCUUGUGACAAGCAUGAAAAACACGCUGAAGACGGCGAUUUUAUGCACAUUGGGAGACGGUGAGAGGAUGUGCAGAGGGUGACAACAGCCUCCUUUGUACUCUACGAGGUCACAGACUUCCAGAAGAAUUUUGGGCUGAUUUUCCGCAGUUUAUUGCAUUUGUGUGUGAUCACGAGGGUUUCCGACUGUGCUGUUUGUUUACGCUCUUAUGGCUUGUUGACAACAUGAGACCAUUAUUUAUUCAUCUUUCAUGUGUUUAUGCAAUCCUUUUUUCUCGUUAACUCAUUAUUAAUUUUUGUGGUUAGCAAUCAAUCUGUUUAUUUUCCACUUUAUGCCGAUGUCUGUAUUUUAGUCCACGAUCUGUCCAUCGGAACUGGAGUCUCCCCACCCCGACCGUCCAGAGACGUUAUCCUUCCGUUUGUCUGUAUUCCUACCUUCCUUCAAGAUAUUUUUUACUACCUCUCUACUUCAUAUAUCUUACUACGUCUAUCGGCUGCGUGGUUGUAUUUUAGGUGGAUAAAAUGCCGGGUAUCAAGCAUUGCAUUCUGUCUUUAAAUACUACCCAAGCUCUGUAUUCCGCUUACAUAUCCGCAUCCUGUUAUCUUCAGCGAUGGAAAGGUGUAUCGCGGGAAAUACCUGGGUCUGACCCACACCAAUCUCCAUCAGGGAUGGAAGGUACAAAUCCUCCAUCACGCAGGCUGACCGAUGAAUGAAGAUGACCAUGCAGUCAUGUGAGGAGGGUUUAAAUAACGGCAAUAACGGUGGCUGCGUCACAAUGCCGAGUCUCGUGCGGCGACAGGCUUGGGAUCGUCGUCUUGCAGGUGAAGCAUGGCACUCGAUGGAGGGACUUUCAAGUUCCGUCGCUCACGCGCCUGAAACAGUGCCUUACGCUAGGAGAUGGACUGGGAAACAUCAUUCCGAAAAACGCAGUAUUCUUGCCGACGAUAAUCUCGAGAUAAUAAGCGAUGAUAAACGCGUAGCUGGCGUGGAGGGCAUUGGCUGCGGCUGAUCCGGUUAGUGCCCUGAUGGUGCGGUGCGUGGAGCACCCUCCGUCUGACAUUGUUACGUAAACUAAUUUGCUUGAACAUAGUGCCUUCCCUUAUCUUGUUACUCGCCAUUCCUUGCGCCAGAUAGAUGCUUGUUACUAUAUUUAGGUCAGCCUGGCAUAGGUUGUCCGUUACUGCCAACCAGGCACGUAGAGGUCGCACCUUGUGGGCUUGUUCACCGUGUCCCAGUCAUCCCUUGCUUCUUUUAACCACUUAUCUCCACCGAUGAGUUCAACCGACUCGCUUCAUUUCAUGUCCGGUGAUGUUGAGUAGUUCCGUAACGACUGUGCGGCCCUCCACAGAACUCGGUUACUGGAUAAUGGUCAGUUGUCACGAUCACUUUCGAAAGUGUACCCAACCCUCUUCUUCCUCCCUGGAGAUGUCAACUUUAUUGUGAACAAUGGCAGUUCCGCAGAACUAUGUUAACCAACAUAUCAAAUCACUAAAAAUGUCUCAGACAUGUAAACUGAAGAGUUUGCUGGUUUUUUUAACAGGUUGGUUUUUAAUUUUAAAAAGUCUUGAUUAUUGCUUUUUAUUUUCUUGAUACGUUUGAAGUCUGUGCAGGUCGGCUUUCACCUUUGACAUGACAAGACGCCAAUGACAGUGUCACUGAACCCGACAUAAACCUGGCUGGAGAUGCCGAAAGGUAGAACUUACACUACCCAGGGUAUUAAUGGCUACACACGCUCACCGCGAGUACUUCACACUUGAGGAAAAAAGUUAACUUUGAAAUUACAGUUUGUUUUGAUGCCUCUCCCAGACUGCGAACCUCAAACGAUCAUAUUAAUAAUAAAAAUUAUUUUUGGACAG
Pomacea canaliculata is the source of this 3529-nucleotide long non-coding RNA. RefSeq lists it as uncharacterized. The record is from RefSeq and is a predicted model, not a curated record. Lineage: Eukaryota; Metazoa; Mollusca; Gastropoda; Architaenioglossa; Ampullariidae. The transcript is spliced from 2 exons.